CAAACUUAUCAGGGUGAAAAAGUUAGGAAGAAGUGACGGCGGGUGAGCAAUACACGCGAAACAACCGCAGUUUUACGGCGGUAUUUGUGUAAAACUGAAGAAGACAUUUUGUACCACAAUAUUAAUAGUACACUGUACACCUAAAUAUCGUUAUAUAUACUUUAAUACCCUGUAUGUAUAUAACAACAGCCUUCCGUGUAUUGACGUUGUCACACUGACACACAAUGGCACAUAAAAAACAUUGAUGUAAUGUGAUACUGAGGACACGUGAAAACAGGAUGAAACGAAGCAUGCUGCGUUUUUUUCCCAGCAGGCUAUAUCAUCUAGCCACAAGACAUUGAAGAGAGUGCAGAUGGCAAGUGCCUCAUUUCUCAUCUCACAAAUACUUAUGUAAGCUGUUUGGCUAAGAUUCGUCUCUCGUUCCACCACAUCCCAACGGUGCUUUCAGAGGUUGAGAUCUGGUGAC
Molecule: long non-coding RNA, 466 nt
Organism: Epinephelus lanceolatus (giant grouper)
Lineage: Eukaryota; Metazoa; Chordata; Actinopteri; Perciformes; Serranidae
Source: RefSeq, a predicted model, not a curated record